CAAGGAACAACUGACUUAGCAUAAGGUCAAGAAGCAGAUUCUGCUGGUAAUACUGCCUCUCCUAGUGUCUCUCAGUAUAGAGAGCAAAGUCCACAGGUCUGGAGAUGGGAGGCUAUCAGGAAAGGCCUUCCGAUGUAUGCAGUCAUAAGACCUCUACAGCAAGAAAGAGCACUCACAGCCUACGCAGCUGGGAUACCUUCCUCCCUCUGCAGUGGAUGUGCACUUUCUCCUGCUAAAACAUACACACCAUAUGGCACCUGGUCAUCCCGGAGCUGUAGCUCUUCCCAUUGAGGAGGGAAGAGCGCCUUCCUCUCAGCACAAGGUGCACACUGUCUCUCUACCUUCAUGGACUGCCCUGAUGCACUAGUGUUUGGCAAUGAGAGAUUGGCAUUUAGAACAAAAGCAGAUCUUGUCUGUGUCUUCUUCAUGUGAAUAAAGCAUUGUUCAUCCGGGGA
Long non-coding RNA from Chinchilla lanigera (long-tailed chinchilla), 455 nucleotides. RefSeq lists it as uncharacterized. The transcript is spliced from 2 exons. NCBI's taxonomy places the organism in Eukaryota, Metazoa, Chordata, Mammalia, Rodentia, Chinchillidae. The record is from RefSeq and is a predicted model, not a curated record.